AUUGAACGCUGGCGGCAUGCCUUACACAUGCAAGUCGAACGGCAGCACGGGAGCAAUCCUGGUGGCGAGUGGCGAACGGGUGAGUAAUAUAUCGGAACGUGCCCAGUAGUGGGGGAUAGCCCGGCGAAAGCCGGAUUAAUACCGCAUGAGACCUGAGGGUGAAAGCGGGGGAUCGCAAGACCUCGCGCUAUUGGAGCGGCCGAUAUCAGAUUAGCUAGUUGGUGGGGUAAAGGCCUACCAAGGCAACGAUCUGUAGUUGGUCUGAGAGGACGACCAGCCACACUGGGACUGAGACACGGCCCAGACUCCUACGGGAGGCAGCAGUGGGGAAUUUUGGACAAUGGGCGCAAGCCUGAUCCAGCAAUGCCGCGUGCAGGAAGAAGG
RNAcentral lists this ribosomal RNA (384 nucleotides) under uncultured bacterium. Its description in RNAcentral is "bacterial SSU rRNA". It matches the Rfam family "Bacterial small subunit ribosomal RNA", at positions 29 to 414 of the family's 1533-position model. The record is from RNAcentral.